AAUACCUCAGACGGGAAAUGUGUGCCCAGAAGACUAUAGCUCCAUUGUGUGCGGCUGGAUGCCUUCCAUGGGCUUUGUUUAUGGGACAGAUUGUUUUUGCAAAGUUGUUUGCUCCGGAUGGAAAGAAACCCAAUGUGUCAGGAUACUGGUCUGUUAGGCUCUGUGGCAGUAUGUCCUUUGCCCAUGGUCACUUUCCCAGAAGGCUUCAGUUGUUGAAUCUGUAACUUCUGGACUCCUGGACGCCUGACUUGUCAGCACCAAGUAAACACAGCUCAGAUCUGAAGAGAAGGAGGAUGCCAAAGCGAACUGCUGCAAGGUCUUCCCCAGCUCUCCAAAGGAGUUCACCUUUUAAAUGAAGAAGAAAGAAGGAAAGAAAGAAAAGAGAGAGAAAAGGAAGGAAGGGUGAAGACUGGAGCUCAAUGGCAGAGCAUUUGCCUAGCGUGUGCGGACCCCUGCGUCCCAUUCCUAG
Nannospalax galili (Upper Galilee mountains blind mole rat) is the source of this 469-nucleotide long non-coding RNA. RefSeq lists it as uncharacterized. The record is from RefSeq and is a predicted model, not a curated record. The transcript is spliced from 4 exons. NCBI's taxonomy places the organism in Eukaryota, Metazoa, Chordata, Mammalia, Rodentia, Spalacidae.